This 468-nucleotide ribosomal RNA is filed under the name uncultured bacterium. RNAcentral's name for it is "partial 16S ribosomal RNA". It matches the Rfam family "Bacterial small subunit ribosomal RNA", at positions 28 to 507 of the family's 1533-position model. The record is from RNAcentral.
GACGAACGCUGGCGGCGUGCCUAACACAUGCAAGUCGAACGGAACGGCCCUGCCUUUGUGGGGUGCUCGAGUGGCGAACGGGUGAGUAACACGUGAGUAACCUGUCCCUGACUUUGGGAUAACUUAAGGCAACUGGGGCUAAUACGGGCUAGGAUCUCCUGCCGCAUGGUGGGGGUUGGAAAGUUUCGGCGGUUGGGGUUGGAAUCGCGGCCUAUCAGCUUGUUGGUGGGGUAGUGGCUUACCAAGGCCUUGACAGGUAGCCGGCCUGGUAGGGUAACCUGCCACAUUAGGAUGGAACUACGACCCGGACUCCAACGGGAGGGAACGGUGGGGUGUGGUACACUGGGGGCUGAGGCCUGGUGCGAUAACGCCACGUGGGGUAUGUCAUCAUGCGGUUUGUGUUCCACAGUCGCCUGACACGAAGCGUGAGUGACGGUAAUGGGUGAAUAAGCACCGGCUAACUACGUG